AGCGAACGCUAGCGGCGGGCCUAACACAUGCAAGUCGAGCGGGGAGCAAUCCCAGCGGCGAACGGGUGAGUAACACGUGGGUAAUGUGCCUUCUGGUGGGGAAUAACCUUGGGAAACCAGGGCUAAUACCGCAUAUCGUGCUUCGGCAUGAAAGCCUUCGGGCGCCAGUAGAGCAGCCUGCGUCCCAUUAUUUAGUCCUAGUUGGUAGGGUAAUGGCCUACCAAGGGUACGGAUGGGUAGCUGGUCUGAGAGGAUGAUCAGCCACACUGGAACUGAGACACGGUCCAGACUCCUACGGGAGGCAGCAGUGGGGAAGUAUUGCGCAAUAGGGGGAAACCCGUACGACGCAGCCACGCCGCGUGAGUGAUGAAGGCC
This 375-nucleotide ribosomal RNA is filed under the name uncultured bacterium. RNAcentral's name for it is "bacterial SSU rRNA". It matches the Rfam family "Bacterial small subunit ribosomal RNA", at positions 29 to 416 of the family's 1533-position model. The record is from RNAcentral.